RNAcentral lists this ribosomal RNA (252 nucleotides) under uncultured Bacteroidales bacterium. RNAcentral's name for it is "partial 16S ribosomal RNA". It matches the Rfam family "Bacterial small subunit ribosomal RNA", at positions 524 to 776 of the family's 1533-position model. The record is from RNAcentral. Lineage: Bacteria; Pseudomonadati; Bacteroidota; Bacteroidia; Bacteroidales.
UACGGAGGAUGCGAGCGUUAUCCGGAUUUAUUGGGUUUAAAGGGUGCGUAGGCGGGCAUUUAAGCCGGCGGUCAAAUGUCGGGGCUCAACCCCGUCGAGCCGUUUGAACUGGCGGCCUCGAGUGGGCGAGAAGUAUGCGGAAUGCGUGGUGUAGCGGUGAAAUGCAUAGAUAUCACGCAGAACUCCGAUUGCGAAGGCAGCGUACCGGCGCCCGACUGACGCUGAGGCACGAAAGCGUGGGUAUCGAACAGG